UUUCCUACGGGGGGCAGCAGUGGGGGAUAUUGCACAAUGGGGGGAACCCUGAUGCAGCGACGCCGCGUGGGUGAAGAAGCGCCUCGGCGCGUAAAGCCCUGUCAGCAGGGAAGAAAAUGACGGUACCUGAAGAAGAAGCCCCGGCUAACUACGUGCCAGCAGCCGCGGUAAUACGUAGGGGGCAAGCGUUAUCCGGAUUCACUGGGCGUAAAGGGAGCGCAGGCGGCACGGCAAGUCUGGUGUGAAAGCCCGGGGCCCAACCCCGGGACUGCAUUGGAAACUGCCGGGCUGGAGUGCCGGAGGGG
Molecule: ribosomal RNA, 305 nt
Filed under: uncultured bacterium
Lineage: Bacteria
Description: bacterial SSU rRNA
Rfam family: Bacterial small subunit ribosomal RNA
Source: RNAcentral